UCUCAAGGUGUUUGCCUAUCUUUUCUUAUUUCACAGUAAACUCAUUUCUUCCAGGAGGAGAAACUGGGUUGUUUGAACUAAGGAAUCCUAUCUGUACUGGAGCCUGGUCUCCUCCGUGAACACCAAGUUUUGAACACCAAGACAUCUGGCUGCUGGGAUACAGUCUAGGCUCACAGGAAAUGAUUCAUCAAUAUCUCGAACUGCUCCUUAGGCCAGAGCUUGGGACAUCAAAAAGAGACAAUGCAGAGAGGGAGGGAGAUUCUACCCUGAAAGAAGUGUCCUGCAGCUUUGACUCAGCAGAGAAAACUUAAGACCAGGUGCAUUCAAUUUGGAAAGAAAACUCAUUACUAAGCUUGAGGGCAGACUAACCAGGUGUGAAGAGAUCUUCCAUCAAGUCUUCAGAUGAGGACUGGAACCCAUCUGGAGAAGUUCUAGCUUCAUACGAGUAAGUGAGCAAAAAUUGGUAGUGGGAUG
This 474-nucleotide long non-coding RNA is filed under the name Coturnix japonica (Japanese quail). Its description in RNAcentral is "lncRNA (ENSCJPG00005019347.1)". Lineage: Eukaryota; Metazoa; Chordata; Aves; Galliformes; Phasianidae. The record is from RNAcentral.